This 75-nucleotide antisense RNA is filed under the name Amycolatopsis saalfeldensis. RNAcentral's name for it is "ASpks TB sRNA". It matches the Rfam family "ASpks TB sRNA". Lineage: Bacteria; Bacillati; Actinomycetota; Actinomycetes; Pseudonocardiales; Pseudonocardiaceae. The record is from Rfam by way of RNAcentral.
CUUGAUCGAGCCCAGCCACAGCGGUUGCUCGCCGUCCCGGUCCUGGCCGUAGGUGGCCAGCAGGGCCUGCGCCUC